AGAGUUUGAUCCUGGCUCAGGACGAACGCUGGCGGCGUGCUUAACACAUGCAAGUCGAACGGAGGUUACUUUGAAACGCAAGUAGAUAGGUAACCUUAGUGGCGGACGGGUGAGUAACGCGUGGAUAACCUGCCUGAAUGACCGGGACAACACCGGGAAACUGGUGCUAAUACCGGAUACGCUCUUGGGAGCACAUGCUUUUGAGAGGAAAGGAGCAAUCCGCAUACAGAUGGGUCCGCGUCCCAUUAGCUAGUUGGGGGUGUAAGAGACCACCAAGGCGACGAUGGGUAGCCGGCCUGAGAGGGUGGACGGCCACACUGGAACUGAGACACGGUCCAGACUCCUACGGGAGGCAGCAGUGGGGAAUCUUCCGCAAUGGGUGCAAGCUUGACGGAGCAACGCCGCGUGAGUGAAGAAGGCCUUCGGGUUGUAAAGCUCUGUCUUCAGGGAAGAAAAAAAUGACGGUACCUGAGGAGGAAGCCCCGGCUAACUACGUGCCAGCAGCCGCGGUAAAACGUAGGGGGCGAGCGUUGUCCGGAAUUACUGGGCGUAAAGGGCGCGUAGGCGGUCAUUUAAGUCAGAGGUGAAAACUACCGGCUUAACCGGUAGCCUGCCUUUGAAACUGGGUGACUUGAGGGCAGGAGAGGGGAGUGGAAUUCCCAGUGUAGCGGUGAAAUGCGUAGAUAUUGGGAGGAACACCAGUGGCGAACGCGGCUCUCUGGCCUGUUUCUGACGCUGAGGCGCGAAAGCGUGGGGAGCGAACGGGAUUAGAUACCCCGGUAGUCCACGCCGUAACGAUGGGUGCUAGGUGUAGGAGGUAUCGACCCCUUCUGUGCCGUAGUUAACACAAUAAGCACCCCGCCUGGGGAGUACGGCCGCAAGGUUGAAACUCAAAGGAAUUGACGG
This 906-nucleotide ribosomal RNA is filed under the name uncultured bacterium. RNAcentral's name for it is "bacterial SSU rRNA". It matches the Rfam family "Bacterial small subunit ribosomal RNA", at positions 8 to 916 of the family's 1533-position model. The record is from RNAcentral.